RNAcentral lists this unclassified non-coding RNA (1936 nucleotides) under Penaeus chinensis. RNAcentral describes it as "ankyrin repeat and BTB/POZ domain-containing protein 1-like, transcript variant X1". Lineage: Eukaryota; Metazoa; Arthropoda; Malacostraca; Decapoda; Penaeidae. The record is from RNAcentral.
UCAUGUAAACAACGCAGAAAGCUGUCGUUGCCAAGUUUCGAAACACUGACAUAGGCGAGUGGCACACACUUAUAUAUUAUUAUUUUGUGUUCUGUAUGUCUCUUGUCAUUCGAAUCUCAGAAUGGAAAACAAAGAACUAUUUCUUCAAUGUAAGAAAGGAGACUUAGAAAAAGUAAGGUUCUUAAUAGAGCAGCGAGAUGCAGACGUGAAUAUCCGAGAUAAAUGGGACAGUACCCCUCUAUAUUAUGCGUGUUUAUGUGGACACCAGCCAAUAGUCGAAUAUCUAAUUGGAGUUGGCGCGCGGUGCGAAGCGAAUACCUUUGACGGAGAGCGAUGUUUAUACGGAGCGCUAACGGAUGAUAUUCGACGCAUCUUAACACAACACAAUUUAGUAACCACCCACACUAUUAGAAGGGACGCCUAUGAUGAAUUUUUAAGGAGGUUGUUUGAAAGUGGCGAAUACAGCGAUGUUACAUUCGUGGUACAAGGGCAGUUGUUUGCUCUCCAUCGGUGCAUACUUAGUGCACGCUCAGAUUACUUUAGAGAAAUGUUUGUGACAAAAUGGCACAACAGACCAAAAGUUGCCAUCAAUAGAGAUUUGCGCGGUGAUGAAGUAUAUCUACACGGGGCGGUUUGAGUGCCCGGUCGACCAGCUGAGAGGGUGCAUUCGUAUCGGCUUGAACUGCAGGCUGCCCAACUUCAAGGAAAUGCUUGAGGACGCGCACAAGAAAGCGCUCAGUUUGCCAUACCGAAACGGAUGAUUUCAAGGAAGAGGAAGGGGCGCUGAGGGAACUCACCUUUCUGAACGAUGGCACCAUUGUCGGGUGACUGAAUCAACAUGCUUGCGGCUCUCGCAUGGUCGCGCCUCGUCCCACGCCAAGCAGACAGAAACGCGUGCGUAUGUAUGAAGUGUUGCGUUCUUUCAGCAGGACACGGCGGCCGCACGCACUCACGGACGCAGAUUGGAGAGAGGCUCUGCUCGUGUCCCCGGCCUCACUCGCAGCUUAGGCUCAGUGUGCUCGGUGACAGCAAUCGGUCUUCGGCCACAGACCCGACAGGCGUACGUACCCCGAUGCCUUGCCGCCGUCUCGUUUACACACUCUUACUCCAGACGCGCCUCAGCCGUCUCCACUGCGGUCGGCUGUCCGCGCAGACCGAUAAAACACCACGGUAUGAACUCCGGACUCGUCUAGGGGAGUCUGACACGCGAUCUCCGCCUCGAAACCGCCGCAGUCAGUCUCAAAGUGUGACACAGGAGGAGGGGAAACGCGCGAGCAGGCGACCGCUGUAUGAGGGGAACGUUGAGUGACACGUUUGGGUGACGUGCUAGCGUCUGCCUCCUCGUCUGUGCAACCUCGCAAGUGCUGCAACGCCCUUUACCUCCUCGCUCACAUCUCGCCCAGAAAUGCUCAAGAUAGGGAAAAUGGGCGGGUUGUCUAGUUCGAUAUUGUCAGUAUGGACAAGCUUGGGAAAAAUCGGAUAGGUUGAUGUAACAGGAAGUAGCUUCUGCCCCGUUUUUAUACUUAUACAUUUGUUUCUUCCGUCGAAAUAAAGUGUAUGUCUAUUAAAAAAAUGUGAGAUGUUUUUAGUAUAAUCACUAUUUCAUCUUUAAACAUUGCAUUGUAACAUACCAAAUACGAUUCUUCAUUAACCAUAAAUACACGCCUUUAUAUUAAUCCCUUCUGGCAUAACAUCUUCGAGUAUUUAGUCUAAUAAUUCUCGGGAGUCCAGAUCGGGCCAAAUACCAUAGGUAGAGACAUCGCACAUGGUACAUAUGGUACAUAGUUUAGGUAAAUCAUUUCCCCACGGUUGGCACUGUUAAAUUGUGAGUCGGAUUAAAGCUUGGGUAUCUCAGUCAUUCCACUUCAGAAACUGUUACCAAAAUAGUGCAUGAUCAGCCUUGAUAAUGCAUGCACGUUCAAGAAGAAUGCAUCGU